RNAcentral lists this ribosomal RNA (773 nucleotides) under uncultured bacterium. RNAcentral's name for it is "bacterial SSU rRNA". It matches the Rfam family "Bacterial small subunit ribosomal RNA", at positions 8 to 798 of the family's 1533-position model. The record is from RNAcentral.
AGAGUUUGAUCAUGGCUCAGGACGAACGCUGGCGGCGUGCUUAACACAUGCAAGUCGAACGGAAAGGCCCUUCGGGGUACUCGAGUGGCGAACGGGUGAGUAACACGUGGGUGAUCUGCCCUGCACUUUGGGAUAAGCCUGGGAAACUGGGUCUAAUACCGAAUAUGACCACGCUCUUCAUGGGGUGUGGUGGAAAGCUUUUGCGGUGUGGGAUGGGCCCGCGGCCUAUCAGCUUGUUGGUGGGGUAAUGGCCUACCAAGGCGACGACGGGUAGCCGGCCUGAGAGGGUGACCGGCCACACUGGGACUGAGAUACGGCCCAGACUCCUACGGGAGGCAGCAGUGGGGAAUAUUGCACAAUGGGCGCAAGCCUGAUGCAGCGACGCCGCGUGAGGGAUGACGGCCUUCGGGUUGUAAACCUCUUUCACCAGGGACGAAGCGCAAGUGACGGUACCUGGAGAAGAAGCACCGGCCAACUACGUGCCAGCAGCCGCGGUAAUACGUAGGGUGCGAGCGUUGUCCGGAAUUACUGGGCGUAAAGAGCUCGUAGGUGGUUUGUCGCGUUGUUCGUGAAAACUCACAGCUUAACUGUGGGCGUGCGGGCGAUACGGGCAGACUAGAGUACUGCAGGGGAGACUGGAAUUCCUGGUGUAGCGGUGGAAUGCGCAGAUAUCAGGAGGAACACCGGUGGCGAAGGCGGGUCUCUGGGCAGUAACUGACGCUGAGGAGCGAAAGCGUGGGGAGCGAACAGGAUUAGAUACCCCGGUAGUCCAA